AGAGCAAGAUGAUGAAAUUGAGGA
This 24-nucleotide small nuclear RNA is filed under the name Arabidopsis thaliana (thale cress). RNAcentral describes it as "snRNA_16757". The record is from RNAcentral. Lineage: Eukaryota; Viridiplantae; Streptophyta; Magnoliopsida; Brassicales; Brassicaceae.